This 293-nucleotide ribosomal RNA is filed under the name uncultured bacterium. Its description in RNAcentral is "partial 16S ribosomal RNA". It matches the Rfam family "Bacterial small subunit ribosomal RNA", at positions 333 to 618 of the family's 1533-position model. The record is from RNAcentral.
UCGUGCCUACGGGGGGCAGCAGUAGGGAAUUUUCGUCAAUGGGCGCAAGCCUGAACGAGCAAUGCCGCGUGAACGAGGAAGGUCUUCGGAUCGUAAAGUUCUGUUGAAGGGGAAAAAGAGCGGAGAGAGGAAAUGGUCUCCGAUUGAUAUUACCCUUCGAGGAAGUCACGGCUAACUACGUGCCAGCAGCCGCGGUAAUACGUAGGUGGCGAGCGUUAUCCGGAAGGAUUGGGCGUAAAGGGUGCGUAGGCGGCCUGCUAAGUCUGGAGCGAAAGGUACAGGCUCAACCGGGA